RNAcentral lists this ribosomal RNA (1044 nucleotides) under Triticum aestivum (bread wheat). RNAcentral's name for it is "partial small subunit ribosomal RNA". Lineage: Eukaryota; Viridiplantae; Streptophyta; Magnoliopsida; Poales; Poaceae. The record is from RNAcentral.
AUGGAUCUCCCAGACCUCAACUUCACUCCACCUGCAGAAGAUGUGGAUGAAAUGGAUGAAGAUGCAGAAAAUGAAAUGGAAGGACAUGUAGGAGAUGAUAUGGAAGGAGAUGCCGGACAGGGAAUGGAAGGAGAUGAAAUUGUUCAAAAUCCAGGUGUUGGGCAAGUUGGUAGAAAAAAUAAAACCCUCAAUGACCAGCAAAAAAUUGCUGCUUAUGUAGCAUUGCAUACACUGUGUAUGAGUAGAGGAGGCACUUUUAAGAAAACUGAUACGCAAUACAUUGCAAAUUUUUUUGGAGUGGGUGUUUGGAAUAUACAAAGAAUUUGGAGGAAAGCAAUGUUGCAAAUUCAACAAGGUCAAGAAGUAGAUAUUGCCGAUCAGAGAAAAGGAAAUAGUGGAAGAAAGACUAUGGACAUUAACCUAGAAAAAAUCCUAACAAUCCCAUUAAACAGGAGGUCUACUAUUAGGUCACUAGCCUGGCAAUUGGGAUGUAGCCCUACCACACUUCAUAGAAAAUUCAUGCUGAAUUUGAUUAGGAGGCAUACAAACUGUGUGAAGCCGGCUUUAAAGGAAAAGAAUAAGAUGGUUAGGAUGAAAUUUUGUUUGUCGAUGCUUGAUGAGGCAACAACAGCAACUGCGAGGCCUAAGUUCAAGACUAUGCAUAAUGUUGUCCAUAUUGACGAGAAGUGGUUUAACAUGACAAAGAAGAAUAGAACAUAUUAUCUGCUGGAUGGGGAGGAAGAGCCUACGAGGCCUAUACACGGCAACUGUAUUGGCAAGGUGAUGUUCUUAACAGCCGUUGCUAGGCCAAGGUGGGACAGGGAAGGAAACGUGACAUUCUCUAGGAAAAUUAGUAUCUGGCCAUUCGUGAAUCCUGCUCAGAGGAGAAGCGACAACAGACCCAAAGGUACAAUAGAGACAAAGUCAAUAAAGGUCGACAGAAAAGUGAUGAGGGAGUUCCUGAUAGAGAAGGUCUUGCCAGCGAUACAAGCAGUUUGGCCGGAAAGUGAUGCUGGUCAGACCAUCUACAUUCAGCAGGAUAAU